UUUCUGUGGCACACAUCAGAGUCAAAUACUUGCUAGAGAACAAACUUCACUUCAGGAUAGGCAACCGAAAUUAAUAAUGAAUGUAUGUGUGUUAUAUUAAACAUAGAGGAGGGAUUGACAGCUUCCUUGAAGGAAACAAAUAAAAAAUGCAUUCUGCUACUAAGAUCAGUGAAAACUGACAACGGAGUGAAAAGCAGAAAUCUCAACUACCAAGCAAGUCGCAGCAAUGGAGAAUUGAGUGUGUGCGCGUCCUCCCAAAGGGAUGGAGAAUUCUGUCGGGGGAGAUUUUCGGUACAACACCUGUUACCUUCAGACAAAUUCCCUGGGUCGAAGAGUAAAGGAGAACACCAUCGUGUUCGUAAGAGUCUCACCUUUCCAUAGGUUUUAAUACGAUAAAAUAUCUAAUUUUAUGACAAACGGCGGAGAAUGGGUGGUUCUGUGUAGCCUAGUUAUGAUAAUAUAGGCUAUUUGAGACCAAUGCACUGCAGUUAAUUUCGUCUUUGACCUAAUAAGUCAAAUAUCUUUGAGUGUAUUUGAGUAGUAAACAGGUAAACAACAACGAGUCCUAGACAGUUUGCAAUAGAACAUACCAGAGGGGGGCAUUGUUUACUAGGCUACUUAAAUGAUUGGGAGCAUCUGGUUACCAGCAGUGUUCAGAACACAUUGAGUUUAUGACAAAACAGAUCAGAGGACACCUUUUCACACAGAGAUGUAUUUAUAGCAGUGAAUGUCAUGUAUUUCUAAGUAGCAGACAUAUCAGGCAGGGAAACUAAUUGUUCACAUUUUGAUAGAACAUUCCAAAUGUACAGCUUGACGGUGGCGCUCUUUAGCCUACCUGCAUUGUUAGGAUGUUGAUGUGAUCACAACAAAACUACUUAUUGGGCUCAAAUAGAGAUAUCAUUUUUCUUUGAAAAAAUAGGCUUGGCUGAGAAAAGAAGAUUCAGUUUUCUGCCCGAGUGUGGCGCUGAUUACAGCAAUUUUCUGGAUUAUCUCGUGACCAGAACAAAACUACCUAUUUUACUAGAGAUUGAAAUAAAUGGGGUUUCUUUGAAGAGAUGGGCCUGGCUGACAACUGUUUUCUCACCUUAUUCUCCUUAAGGUGAUCCAUGGUUGUUGGUUAUUUACCAGGAGGGCCUGGCUGACAUGAAAAAUGCAUUAAAGGGAAAGGAUCCAUGGACACACAGGCUGAUUAUCUUCCUGCACAUCUCUUCAUUUACCAUGCUGGCUGCCAUGGUUAACACACAGGACAUUGAAUGCUACCUGAAUUGACUCAGAAAAGUAACAUAAGUAGGCCUACAGUAUCACAGCGAGGUCAAACAGAGGGCCUGAGGCUCUGGGACCGUGACUGAGGACACCCUGGCCUGAUACCUCGACAUGCCUAGCCCAAUCCAAGCUGGCCACACUCUACUUCCUACCUGCCUGUUACCAUGACGACUUUGUGAAAAGCGAUCUGACCAUAGGGUCUUGAAUGUAUGCUUUUAUACAGCCUAUAUCUUUGUAUUACAGCAGUCAAAUAGAGUAUUGAAAACUGGAAGUGUGACUUCUUUCCCUAAUGAUUUCCUAUGGCUGAGGUAUUUUGUUAGUAAUCAGGUAUUCCAUACCAAGGCUAGAUGAGCCUGAAUGGCAACACCAGACAAAUGCAAUGCAACUAAUUAAUCUCAUUGUUCAGUCUGUUGAAUAUUCCAUUAAUGAAAAUAUGGAUUUGUUGGCUGAAUUAAGGUUUUAUUAAAACUUCAAAAGAGGUCACACACAAUAGGGUAUGUUUAUAAAAUAAACUAAUUGACAAGAAAAGUAAUUUACAACAUCAAUUAAUGUCACCACCUCUCCCUUUAUUUUGCUUAACUGGGGGAAUGGGAGAAAUGGUUUACAGUAGGCAGGGUAGUGCUCAACAAGCAGAAUGCAUACCAAAUGACACCCUGUUACUUUUGCCUGUAUAAUGCAUUACUUUUGACCAGAGCCCUAUGAACCCAGGUCAAAAUUAGUGCACUGUGUAUUGGGAAAAUGGUGCCAAUUGGGAGACAUUCCAUCUGUUGAUGAAGCCACCUAAAAAUCAAUGACUGCAUACCAAUUAUCCAUCCCUCGCCUAAUGGAUUUGUGGAUUUGUGUAAAAAUUAGCUUGAGCUACUUUACGCCAUUGUUAAAUGGACAUGCAGCCAAAGUUAAUGGUCACACACCUUUGAGUCAUUAGUAAUAAGGUGUUAUAUAAACUAGCAAAUAAUUGACACAAGUUGUUACAGUAGUGGGUAAGACAUUGGAUCCAGAGCUGUAUAAGUUAAUUAUGGACUUUAAAGUAACAGGCAGGAAGCAUGUAGAGGGGAGCCAGGUGGGAUUGGGCCAGGCACGUCCAGGUGUCAGGCCAGGGUGUCCUCAGUCACGGUCCAAGUGCCUCAGCCCCUCUGGAAAGAGAGACGGAGAAAAAUAAAAGUUAGUGAAAGAAUGGCUAAAACUAUAGCACACACCACAUGCACUGGGGUAGAGAACAAUCAAGUGUUGCUGUGGGAACUGGAUAAUCUGACUAACACACACAUAUACCCGUUUGACCUCUGUCACUGUAGGCCUGUUUAUGUUACCCUGUGUGAUUCAAUUCCAGUAGCAUUCAAUGUCCUGGGUUUGUGUUAACCAUGGCAGCCAGCAUUGUAAAUAAAGAGACACAGACAGAUAAUCAGUCUGUGGGUCCCAUCCCCUUAAUGUAUUUUUCAUUUCAGCCAGGCCUGUUUUCAAAGAAAUACCAUUUAAUUCAAUCUUGAGUUGAGUAAAAUAAGUUGUUUUGUUCUUAACCAAAUAGCACAGAAAAUUGCAGUAAACAGCCCCACACUUAGACAG
This is a long non-coding RNA of Oncorhynchus tshawytscha (Chinook salmon), 2823 nucleotides long. RefSeq lists it as uncharacterized. NCBI's taxonomy places the organism in Eukaryota, Metazoa, Chordata, Actinopteri, Salmoniformes, Salmonidae. The transcript has 3 exons. The record is from RefSeq and is a predicted model, not a curated record.